GGUUAAGUGACUAAGCGUACACGGUGGAUGCCUUGGCAGUCAGAGGCGAUGAAGGACGUAGUAACUUGCGAUAAGCGUAGAUGAGGCAGUAACAGCCACUUGAGUCUACGAUUUCCGAAUGGGGAAACCCACUGGCAUAAGCCAGUAUCAUUGAGUGAAUACAUAGCUCAAUGAAGCGAACCGGGAGAACUGAAACAUCUAAGUACCCCGAGGAAAAGAAAUCAACCGAGAUUCCGAAAGUAGCGGCGAGCGAAAUUGGAUUAGCCCUUAAGCUUUACAUGUGUUAGACGAACGGUCUGGAAAGUCCGACGAUACAGGGUGAUAGUCCCGUAGUUGUAGAUGCAUGUUCAGUGAAAUCGAGUAGGGCGGGACACGUGUUAUCCUGUCUGAAUAUGGGGGGACCAUCCUCCAAGGCUAAAUACUCCUGACUGACCGAUAGUGAACCAGUACCGUGAGGGAAAGGCGAAAAGAACCCCUGUGAGGGGAGUGAAAUAGAACCUGAAACCGUGUACGUACAAGCAGUAGGAGCACCUUCGUGGUGUGACUGCGUACCUUUUGUAUAAUGGGUCAGCGACUUAUAUUCAGUGGCAAGGUUAACCAUCUAGGGGAGCCGUAGGGAAACCGAGUCUUAACUGGGCGCCAUAGUCUCUGGAUAUAGACCCGAAACCGAGUGAUCUAGCCAUGGGCAGGUUGAAGGUUGAGUAACAUCAACUGGAGGACCGAACCGACUAAUGUUGAAAAAUUAGCGGAUGACUUGUGGCUAGGGGUGAAAGGCCAAUCAAACUCGGAGAUAGCUGGUUCUCCCCGAAAGCUAUUUAGGUAGCGCCUCGGACGAAUACUACUGGGGGUAGAGCACUGUUAAGGCUAGGGGGUCAUCCCGACUUACCAACCCUUUGCAAACUCCGAAUACCAGUAAGUACUAUCCGGGAGACACACGGCGGGUGCUAACGUCCGUCGUGGAGAGGGAAACAACCCAGACCGCCAGCUAAGGUCCCAAAUUACAGCUAAGUGGGAAACGAUGUGGGAAGGCUUAGACAGCUAGGAUGUUGGCUUAGAAGCAGCCAUCAUUUAAAGAAAGCGUAAUAGCUCACUAGUCGAGUCGGCCUGCGCGGAAGAUGUAACGGGGCUAAGUUGUAAACCGAAGCUGCGGCAAUGUUCUUUGAACAUUGGGUAGGGGAGCGUUCUGUAAGCCGUUGAAGGUGUGUUGUAAAGCAUGCUGGAGGUAUCAGAAGUGCGAAUGCUGACAUGAGUAACGACAAGGGGGGUGAAAAACCUCCCCGCCGGAAGACCAAGGGUUCCUGUCCAACGUUAAUCGGGGCAGGGUAAGUCGACCCCUAAGGCGAGGCCGAAAGGCGUAGUCGAUGGGAAACGGGUUAAUAUUCCCGUACUUCUUACAAUUGCGAUGGGGGGACGGAGAAGGCUAGGUGGGCCUGGCGACGGUUGUCCAGGUUCAAGUGCGUAGGCU
This 1465-nucleotide ribosomal RNA is filed under the name Vibrio vulnificus. RNAcentral describes it as "partial 23S ribosomal RNA". It matches the Rfam family "Bacterial large subunit ribosomal RNA", at positions 1 to 1526 of the family's 2925-position model. Lineage: Bacteria; Pseudomonadati; Pseudomonadota; Gammaproteobacteria; Vibrionales; Vibrionaceae. The record is from RNAcentral.